AAUGAACGCUGGCGGCAGGCCUAACACAUGCAAGUCGAACGGAUCCUUCGGGAUUAGUGGCGGACGGGUGAGUAACGCGUGGGAACAUACCCAAAGGUACGGAAUAGCCUCGGGAAACUGGGAGUAAUACCGUAUGUGCUCGAAAGAGGAAAGAUUUAUCGCCUUUGGAUUGGCCCGCGUUGGAUUAGGUAGUUGGUGGGGUAAUGGCCUACCAAGCCGACGAUCCAUAGCUGGUUUGAGAGGAUGAUCAGCCGCACUGGGACUGAGACACGGCCCAGACUCCUACGGGAGGCAGCAAUGGGGAAUGUUAGAGAAUGGUGGAAACCCUGAUCUAGCCGUGCCGCGUGAUCGAUGAAGGCCUUAGGGUUGUAAAGAUCUUUCAGGUGGGAAGAUAAUGACUGUACCACCAGAAGAAGGCCCGGCUAACUCCGUGCCAGCAGCCGCAGUAA
This 449-nucleotide ribosomal RNA is filed under the name uncultured bacterium. Its description in RNAcentral is "partial 16S ribosomal RNA". It matches the Rfam family "Bacterial small subunit ribosomal RNA", at positions 29 to 523 of the family's 1533-position model. The record is from RNAcentral.